Molecule: ribosomal RNA, 407 nt
Filed under: uncultured bacterium
Lineage: Bacteria
Description: partial 16S ribosomal RNA
Rfam family: Bacterial small subunit ribosomal RNA
Source: RNAcentral
GACGAACGCUGGCGGCGUGCCUAAUACAUGCAAGUAGGACGCAGUUGCGAACGGGUGAGUAACGCGUAGGUAACUACCUAUUAGAGGGGGAUAACUAUUGGAAACGAUAGCUAAUACCGCAUACUAGUAGAUGGACCUGCUUUGUAUUAGCUAGUAGGUAGGGUAAUGGCCUACCUAGGCAACGAUACAUAGCCGACCUGAGAGGGUGGUCAGCCACAGUGGGACUGAGACACGGCACAGACUCCUACGGUAGGCAGCAGGGGGGAAUCUUCGGCGAUGGGGAGAACCGUGAACGAGCAAAGCAGCGGGAGUGAAGAAGGGUGUCGGAUCGGAAAGAUCUGUUGUUAAGGCAGCGGUACUAAACCAGAAAGGGACGGCUAACUACGUGCCAGCAGCCGCGGUAAUAC